Molecule: long non-coding RNA, 691 nt
Filed under: Manihot esculenta (cassava)
Lineage: Eukaryota; Viridiplantae; Streptophyta; Magnoliopsida; Malpighiales; Euphorbiaceae
Description: long non-coding RNA (MESC_LNC007666)
Source: RNAcentral
CUAGCCAGAGGUGAGUGGAAUAAUAUCUUAUGCUUUAAAAGUAAAUUAAUGAAAGUAACAGCAUGAUCCAUGCAUCAUGAAUGCCAUGAGCUUAUUUAGGAUGUUUGCAUUAGAAAUCACGAAUAUGUUGCAUUGCAUUUUAGUUUGUUGAUGUGGGUGAAUAUUGAAUGAUCCUUUAUUCCUCAUCAGAGUAUGGUAUGGUAUGGUUGGGAAGACCAGGGAAGCCCAUUCUACGCCUCCCUGACACUAUUGGAAAUGUUAUGUUAUGACAGUAUGAGUAAGAGAAAGACCAGGGAAGCCCAUUCUACGCCUCCCUGGCAUUAUUGGAAAGUAUUGAGGGCUAUUGGUGACAAGUUCACCCUUGAUGUGAUAUGUUUAUGAUGUGAUGCAUUUUCAUGAUAUCAUGAAUUAAAAUUAUGAUAUUUGUUUUAUUCUGCUCACUGGGCUCUAGUAGCUCACCCCUCUUCCUUAACCCCCAGGUUUGCAGGUACGGGCUAGUUCAGGAGUUCAACUAGAGUGAAGAUAUAAUCUUUGUAAUAGCUAGAUGUGGACAUGAGAAUUAUGUAAUGUACAAUGUUUAACAGUUAUGUAAUGUAAUGUAUGUCUUUGAGGAUUAGUAUAUGUGCUUGACCAUAGUUUGUUGUUGAUCCCGUUUGUACAUGAUUUAUUUUAUGAGUAUUGAUGUUGAUGU